RNAcentral lists this ribosomal RNA (587 nucleotides) under uncultured bacterium. RNAcentral describes it as "bacterial SSU rRNA". It matches the Rfam family "Bacterial small subunit ribosomal RNA", at positions 338 to 916 of the family's 1533-position model. The record is from RNAcentral.
CCUACGGGAGGCAGCAGUGGGGAAUUUUGGACAAUGGGCGAAAGCCUGAUCCAGCAAUGCCGCGUGAGUGAAGAAGGCCUUCGGGUUGUAAAGCUCUUUUGUCAGGGAAGAAACGGUGAAAGCUAAUAUCUUUUGCUAAUGACGGUACCUGAAGAAUAAGCACCGGCUAACUACGUGCCAGCAGCCGCGGUAAUACGUAGGGUGCAAGCGUUAAUCGGAAUUACUGGGCGUAAAGCGUGCGCAGGCGGUUUUGUAAGUCUGAUGUGAAAUCCCCGGGCUCAACCUGGGAAUUGCAUUGGAGACUGCAAGGCUAGAAUCUGGCAGAGGGGGGUAGAAUUCCACGUGUAGCAGUGAAAUGCGUAGAUAUGUGGAGGAACACCGAUGGCGAAGGCAGCCCCCUGGGUCAAGAUUGACGCUCAUGCACGAAAGCGUGGGGAGCAAACAGGAUUAGAUACCCUGGUAGUCCACGCCCUAAACGAUGUCUACUAGUUGUCGGGUCUUAAUUGACUUGGUAACGCAGCUAACGCGUGAAGUAGACCGCCUGGGGAGUACGGUCGCAAGAUUAAAACCGUUAAAUGAAUUGACGG